This 1011-nucleotide long non-coding RNA is filed under the name Apteryx haastii (Great spotted kiwi). Its description in RNAcentral is "lncRNA (ENSAHAG00000010682.1)". The record is from RNAcentral. Lineage: Eukaryota; Metazoa; Chordata; Aves; Apterygiformes; Apterygidae.
AUGAAACGGGGCGAUUCAGCCGAGCCCACGCGCGCAGUUCACGGCGAGUUCAGCUUAAUUCAGCCCAACGGCUUUAGCCUCCGCUUGAAGCGAACCGAGCCCAACCACGGCGGCCCGCUUGGCUUCGCGGCCCCGUCAACGCGAGGACUCGGCAGGGUCCUCGGGAUGCCGUGGGUGGGCUUCCCGGCGGGCAACCCGAUGGCCCCGCAAGGACGGCACCCAGCCCUUUAUGGCUGGGAUGGGCUUUUCCCGUGCAGCGAUGGAGGAGAAGACAUUCCUCUUCCCCGUAGCAUGCUCUGGGUGAGACACGGGGAAGCUGCCGUAGCGAUGCAUCACGUUCCCGCUCCAGAACGGGAGCUUCCGCCUAUUCAACCCAAGGAGGAUCCAGCCGGGCGCAGGGGGAGGCGCUGCCCUCCCCGGCGGUCUUGCUGCAAGGGGACUUUCACCCCGUCGCGGGCUGCAGGCGCGGUGGGAGACGGCAGCGCAUCCGGACGCGCGCCCGUCUCAGCCGAUGGGCUCUGCGAGCCGAGCGGGGCCCCUAUCAGCUUUGCAACGAGGAGGUCGGAGCUCUCUCCUCCCAUGGAAGCAGCUUUCCCUGACGGACAACCGAGCUCAUGGCGACUCUCCAACCGGAUGGCGACGUUUGGCACUGCCCUGCCCGUGUGUUACUAUUUACAUCCAUGCAAAGACAGCAAAAAUGCUACCAGACUGGAAAACUGUGCUUUAUAUCAGCAUAUAUCCACAGUAUCCGUCACCACAAAGACUCAGAUUAAUAUGUACGUCUGCACAUUUCCAUAUCUCCUCACCGUCACGGAGGCUUCCCUGCCAGGUGUUCAAAGCAAGCUUUUGCAAUGUAUAAUUCUUCCCCACCAAGCUGACGCUCGGCCCGUUCCCUUCAGCAGGGGUAAAACCCUGAAGGCUCUCAUGAACCGGGAUGCACGGAAAAGCGAUACUACAGAAGGAGAUCAGGUUGCGACACCGUCACUCAGACGUCUAAACUGCUUCGCUUGA